UGGUGAUGUUUCCACCAUCGUUGCUUAACUAUUUACAUAAUCAGAAUUACGUAAGUGACAUGGAAAAGCCACUGACUACCUCUGACAGCCAUGAAUAAAAGACAGGGACUAUAACAAAUGUAGUAAUCACAGCCAUGAAUAAAAGUUAGUCACCAAAACAGUAAUCAAUAAGCUGAAACAUGUGGAUCCCUCUUUGGCCCUCUGGCCCAGGGGCUAUUAUCUACAGAACUUUAGCACGUCAGAUGUGUCAACAACAAAGUGUUCCAGAACGGAACCCCCAGUCAGGGUGAAGGUGACAGCAUCUUGUUUUGUGUCUGUAGUUUGUUUCUCAGGAGGACCACCCUGGAUAAACUUCACAUACUGUAGAUAGUGAACCUGGGACUGCCCAGAGAUAAUGCAGAGAUAAUAAAGAAACAGUCAGACUGACACCUGAUCUUUAACUGGAGGGACACAUGUUGCAAGGACCAAACAGCUGUCUUGUUCUUAGAUGUCUGAGGCAUUGACCUGCUCACUGUCUUAGUCUACCUGGUUUCUCCACUGAGGCUUCUCAAGCCAGCAUGAGUGUCUGGAGUACUUUCUGAGGUCCUGGACUCCUCUACGUCUGGAGUAUGCCUGAGGUCCUGGACGCCUCUACGUUGGGAAUAUGCCUGAGGUCCUGGACGCCUCUACGUCUGGAGUAUGCCUGAGGUCCUGGACUCCUCUACGUCUGGAGUAUGCCUGAGGUCCUGGACUCCUCUACGUCUGGAGUAUGUGUGUCGUCGCCCCCCCUCCCCGAGUGUGCGGGAACUCCAUAGUGGGCUGUGUGGGGAAGCUCAGUGUGUCCCCCGGCCAGACACGAAGACUAGAAGCUUCUUGACGGUCAGAGACUCACAUCCCUGAAGAAGACACAAACAAAGACAAUAUGACCUAGGAUGAAUCUUGAGAGGCUGACGUACUUCUCCUAAACAUAAUGCAUUACUAUUCAUAUAUAAAAACAUUCUCUCCUUGAUCUCCUCUAUUAUGCCUGUUUCCAGGACCCAGAUUCAGCCGUGUCCUGGACUAAAAAUCAUCCAUGAUGAUUAAUCAGUUGCAUUGAAGAUUGAUGACAUUUUCCUUACACUCCACCCCAAUAAGCCAGUCCCUCCAGUAGCCAUACGUUAUGUUCUCAGCUAUUCUCUCAUCACUACCGGGGGCUGAGAAGUUCACGUGGAAGAGCGUGAGGUCUACUGCAGAGAGAGGUCUGGCUAGUAAUAUCUGCUUGAAUACAGCAGGAUGCCUCUAGCAAGCCCAAUGUAGCCAGUCCUCCUUUCAUUUGGUUUAAACAACAAAAAGGACAACACAGAGUGAGGGACACAAGAGACUGAGCUCAUAAAAGUAAUUACUGUAAAGGGUUUUAUCUCACAGCAGUGCCAAAAGUGACUAGGCCCAACUCAGCAGUUAUUGUACAAAACAUACUUAAUGGUCCACAUGACAACCAAACAUCCAAAUAGCCCCUCGCAGCAAACCGCACAAUGUCUUCCCUGUCCUCCCAUGUUUGGACAGGGCUGAGGACCCCCAGCGGACGCAGAAUUAAAGACUCCUCCUCCAUGACCUCACUAGCAGCCUCCAGGGUUGUGGCCGCCUUAAGCUGUGGGUUGAAUGACACGAUAUCACAAUGCAAAUCACAACCCCAGGCCUGUAUUCACAAAGCAUCUCAGAGUAGGAGUGCUGAUCUAGGAUCAGUUUCCCAUUUUAGAUCAUAAUGAAUAAGAAUAUACAGGUCACUGCCAAAAUAAAGGAAACACUUACUGCCUUUGUCAGUCGAUAGGAACAUUCGCCCGAGCUAUUUAGGAGGGAUAUCACACCUGGCACAAAUGGUUGUCUAGUUCUGUUUUUCCUGCUGAGGGGUGCUCUAUACCUGCGCCCAGAGGGGAGUAGUUCAACGUCCAGGUACAGGGGGUGGCUUGGGUCUAAAAUGAUUUUGUGAGCCUUGUGGAGGGCCCUGACCUUAAAGAUCUCAUCCAGACCUGUCUGUUUGACUCCAAGUACCUUGCUUGCUGUGGUAAUAAUCCUUCUCAGCAUAUUUCUCAGGCUGACAGUGGCAUUGCCAAACCAACAAACAUGAAAACAAUGUAAGCCAUAUGAUGUGUCCGUCUCAGUCACCAGAUCUCAACCCAAUUGAACACAUAUGGAAGAUUCUGGAGCAGAGCCUGAGACAGCAUUUUCCACCACAAUCAACAAAACACCAAAUGAUGGAAUUUCUCAUGGAAGAAUGGUGUUGUAUCCCUCCAACAGAGUUCCAGACACUUGUAGAAUCUAUGCCAAGGUACACUGAAGCUGUUCUGGCUCGUGGUGGCCUAACGCCCUAAUAAGACACUAAUUAUUGGCAUUUCCUUUAUUUUUGCAGUUACCUGUAUGUACAGGAAGGACCUGAUCCAAGAUCAGAACUCCUAGUCUGAGAAGCUAUGUGAAUACAAGCCCAGGGCUCAGGCUACAAACACAAACCAAUAUAUACGGCAAAGAACACAUGAACAUGUCACAUGCCUUCUCCAGCCUGGCUCGUAUUUCCUGGUGUGAUCUCGUCCAGGGCCACAGGAGCAGAGGGAAGACCACAGAUCAUGUCAAACGUUCUCCUGGACAGGAAGUGGGGCCAUAUCUCACCACUCAGACACUGGUCAUGCUCUCCACCAGCCUGUACAUUAUCCCAGGCUGAAACUAAAACAUGGUACAAGUUAAUACCACCUUAUUAAAAUAAGGGGGGUUUUUACUAUGGAAAGCACAUAAGAGGCCACCAAUCUAUGUAGUAAUAUACCAUAUAAGACCUUAUAGUUCACUCUGCUUGGAAUACACUGAAAGUGAUACAACAGGACAGUGUUCUAGGAUUAGAUAGAAAGUGUCAUAUUUGAACAUAUAAACAGUGCGAUCUUACAAUACUAGUGCAAUACUAGGCUUUUGCAGUGGUCUGGCCCCUGGAACAAACAACAGUCUUGGAUGGCUGCCAUCAACAGCCGAAUGAACUCCUGUGUUUAACCAUGUUGGUCGACUGACCCCUCACAUUGAACCUCUGAGGUUGAAUAGUUUCCAGCUGAAUGCCUUGGUGGCAGAGCGGAGUACGUCCUUUCGUAAAAUAAUCGGCGUGUUCUCUUCCAUGUUCUCCGGAUGGGACACCUGGGAGGCCACGGCAGACAGCAGUGUACCUGUAGGGGAACC
Molecule: long non-coding RNA, 3168 nt
Organism: Oncorhynchus tshawytscha (Chinook salmon)
Lineage: Eukaryota; Metazoa; Chordata; Actinopteri; Salmoniformes; Salmonidae
Source: Ensembl